RNAcentral lists this long non-coding RNA (230 nucleotides) under Elaeis guineensis (African oil palm). Its description in RNAcentral is "long non-coding RNA (EGUI_LNC061440)". Lineage: Eukaryota; Viridiplantae; Streptophyta; Magnoliopsida; Arecales; Arecaceae. The record is from RNAcentral.
GGAUAUGGAUGUUCAUUAUAGAAUGAGUUCACUAAUUGACCUGAGAGAAUAUCAAAUGGAGUCUUAUUGACAUGUCAACUGAUGAUUUUUUAGUGGGAGUUGUAUAAGUGAUCCUUAGACCUGAGGUCACCAUGGUACCUUGUGUAUAUGGAUUCAUAUUUUGAUUUAUUACCUAACUUGAUUCUUUGAUCCUUGUGUGGGAUGUUCUGGAUAUGGUGAAGUGUGCAUGA